AACGAACGCUGGCGGCAGGCUUAACACAUGCAAGUCGAGCGCAUCCUUCGGGGUGAGCGGCAGACGGGUGAGUAACGCGUGGGAACGUACCCUUUCCUACGGAAUAGCUCCGGGAAACUGGAAUUAAUACCGUAUACGCCCUUAGGGGGAAAGAUUUAUAGGGGAAGGAUCGGCCCGCGUUGGAUUAGCUAGUUGGUGGGGGAAAGGCCUACCAAGGCGACGAUACAUAGACGGUCUGAGAGAAUGAUCAGCCACAUUUGGACUGAGACACGGACCACUCGCCUACGAGAGGAAGCAGUGGGGAAUAUUGGACAAUGCUCGCAAGCCUCAUCCAGCCAUGCCGCAUGAGUGAUGAAGGCCUUAGGGUUGUAAAACUAUUUCAGUAGGGAAGAUAAUGACGGUACCUACAGAAGAAGCCCCGGCUAACUUCGUGCCAGCCGCCGCCGUAA
RNAcentral lists this ribosomal RNA (449 nucleotides) under uncultured bacterium. RNAcentral describes it as "partial 16S ribosomal RNA". It matches the Rfam family "Bacterial small subunit ribosomal RNA", at positions 29 to 523 of the family's 1533-position model. The record is from RNAcentral.